ACUGGAGGACCAAGAAGGCUAAGUCUGAUGAAGCAAGACUUUGCUGAUACACUCCUCCUAGACUAAGGGGUGGAGAGAGCUGCCCUAAUUGGAGAGAACCAUAGGGCUGACUGUACUACCCAACAUCU
Acomys russatus (golden spiny mouse) is the source of this 128-nucleotide non-coding RNA. RefSeq annotates it as small Cajal body-specific RNA 4. The record is from RefSeq and is a predicted model, not a curated record. NCBI's taxonomy places the organism in Eukaryota, Metazoa, Chordata, Mammalia, Rodentia, Muridae. The transcript has a single exon.